RNAcentral lists this ribosomal RNA (332 nucleotides) under uncultured eukaryote. Its description in RNAcentral is "partial 18S ribosomal RNA". It matches the Rfam family "Eukaryotic small subunit ribosomal RNA", at positions 1470 to 1796 of the family's 1831-position model. The record is from RNAcentral.
CCCUUAGAUGUUCUGGGCUGCACACGUGCUACACUGGCAGGUUCAGCGAGCUUCAUGCCCUGAUCUAAAAGGAAUGGGAAAUCUUUUCAAAACCUGCCGUGCUUGGGAUAGAUGUUUGCAAUUAUUCAUCUUCAACGAGGAUUGCCUUGUAAGCGCACGUCAUCAGCGUGCAUUGAAUACGACCCUGUAUUCUGUACACACCGCCCGUCGCUCCUACCGAUUGAAGUUUUCGGUGAGUUGACAGGAGGAUUUUUUUGAAACUGGUUCGCCAGUGGAUUUUAGAUCCAAAUGCCAACGAAUCGAUGGCUUUAGAGGAAGGAGAAGUCGUAACA